UACGAAGGGGGCUAGCGUUGUUCGGAAUUACUGGGCGUAAAGGGCGCGUAGGCGGUGUGUCAAGUCAGGCGUGAAAGCCCCGGGCUUAACCCGGAAAUGGCAUUGGAUACUGCAGAUCUGGAGGAUCGGAGGGGGGACUGGAAUUCUUGGUGUAGCAGUGAAAUGCGUAGAUAUCAAGAGGAACACCAGUGGCGAAGGCGAGUCCCUGGACGAUACCUGACACUGAGGCACGAAAGCUAGGGGAGCAAACAGG
Molecule: ribosomal RNA, 253 nt
Filed under: uncultured bacterium
Lineage: Bacteria
Description: partial 16S ribosomal RNA
Rfam family: Bacterial small subunit ribosomal RNA
Source: RNAcentral